GUUUGGAGAAAUCCAACUCACAGGCCCUGCACCCAAUUCAAGCGGCAUCAGGUGGUCGAAACUCUGAGGGUGGUAACUCCAAUAUGAUCCAAAACAAGCGGCCAAAUGUGGUGAAGACAUUUUCAUGAAUUGCUGAUCCUCCUGGGAAAACAUUUGUUUGCCAGAAUCCAUAUUUGAAUGCGUUUUAAAGAGAAGAAAAAUGCAGAUGAUUUACUCAAGCCGGGGCAGCACAACACCUGCAACUUGGAGAAAACAACACAUUUGAUGGAAAACAGGAAUCAGAAAAGGCUUUCUCAGAACUUUGCUCUCCAAUAAUCUACAGCACGGCAUGCAGACGAUCCCCCGCUAUAAAAAUGAAUGGUCUACUCAGACAAGGCUCUCAGAGGACUUGUUCUGAUUGGAUACUAAGAGGCUUCAGCCUUUAUUGUGGUGAAGAAUUUGAACUUGUGGUCACGUUGUCCUCGGCGCGGCCUGCUUUCCCAUUGGCAUCGCCUCACGAUACGGAAGCGGCAGGUAAAAAAAAAAGCUUUGGAGAGUUUGGUGAGUCCGUAUGGAAGAUGAUACAUUUAUAUUCUGGAACCCCGGAGGGGUGGAAGAAUGAGUUGCCCUCAACAGCCAAAGGAAACUUCACAUGCUAGGUUGAAUGAUCAAACAAAAGCAGGUAAACUUGUUCAUCGCGUCCUCACUUAUUACUUUCACUACUUUAGCUAAUAUGCUUUAGGAUUACUUUAGCUAAAAUGUGUUGAGCCAACCAGAUUCAUCAGUUUAGUUAUAAAUUAUAAGCUAAUAAUAGCAUUCAUUGUUAAAGCUGUCAGUUUAGCAUGGCUACUUAAAUCCAAGGUAAAAGGCAUCUAAAGGACUCAAACUGUCCUUUAAACUUCAGAUCAGCCAACUCUAAAAUCAGGCUCCUCCACUAAUGCUUAUGCUAACUGCCCCUCAGAUCUCACCCUCAUGAAUAUGUUUCCCUUUAGUAUUUGGCUGUAGUCUCAGAGACUGUGUCUAUGACCCUACGUCUCUGCCCAGAAUAGAGAUGGAUGAGCUCAAUCUCAUUAAAACAGUUUUUCUGGAAUCCGUUUGUUGAAGCUUUAAGUUUCAAGUCAAGUUGAAAAGAAACUCUGGAAGGCAUCUGGCCUAGAGGUGGGGGCUCUUUUUGGCAAGCUUAAAGUAACAUGAACCCCAUUUCAGGACCUCAGGUAAAUGAAUCUUUAUAUGCUUGACAGCUCUUCAGAUGUUCCAAAAUCUAAACCUUUCCAUCCAGUGGCAGCGAACUCCUCAGCAAACCAAAACCUUGAUACUGCAUUUGUUUUUGUUGCAGGAGAAGGAUUCUUAUCGGGACCAACGUGAGAAACCUGCAUUCCAAAUCCAAGCUUCCUUUGCCUCCCAGUCUCCUCUCUCACUUGGUGGAGCUGAAUUCUCCCACGACUCUGAAAAAUGUGCGUCGGUGGGGCAGAUAUGAGAGCUGAUGAGCGCUCUGAUGCAGGAUCGCUCUUCCAGAGAGAUUUCACACGAGCGUGAAGCCAGUGGGGGAGUUAGCAAGGAGAGCAUGUUGAGAGCUGUGGCAGGGCCUCGCCUCCUCGGUGUGAGAACAGCUGGCUUGUAUCAGAGCUCUGACCAACAUGUGGAUGCAAGGAGGAGGCUAAUGUGGCGUUUCCGACCCUAAUCAGCCUGAACUCAGCACUGUUAUCUGAAAGGAGAGCUCUGAUCUGUCAGGCUAGGAGUUAGCAGUGCAGCAAAUGAGCUCAAUCAGGAGCUUUGAAAUAUUUCUGGAAGCACUCGUCUUCAUCGUCUGUGUGCCAAUAACAUCAGGUGUGAGCGGUCUGCUCCAGAUAAUUAAACAUGUCAUUCUCCUGUAGUCUGCUCGCUGAAGGCUAUGAGUCCUAAACUCUUUGUCAAGUGAAAACCAGCAGGUUGAUUUUUCCAUUCGAUAAAAGCAGAGAGGAAAUUUCCCCUUAUUUGAAUAUUUACAGUUCAGUGGCGGCUUUGUACGAAGGGUCAGGUUUUCCAAGGCCUGAGUGUGCCUCUGGAGGAAGGUCAUACCUGGGUGAGAUCGCUCUCAAAGAUCGUGUUCUUUCGACCAUCUGUUGCUCACGUUUGCUUGAAGUUGUCCAAGUUACAGAAGAACAUCAGUACCUCUGUAUAAAGUUAAACCUGUUGACAGAAUACAAGAAAUAUCUGAAUAUGCAGUAAGUUUUAAUAUAAAGUGCCCCAUCAUUCAUUAAUUCCAUUGACAUUUUGGCAAAUAGUUUUGAUUGUAAUGAAAAAAUGUGACAAAGUGCGUGCCGCCUCAGGUCUAUAGAGUAGGGUAUGCCUGCAGGCCCGUAGCUCUGAACCCACAUUUUUAGAAACCUUGUUUUGCUCGUGAGUGCCCCCUCUGUCCUUGGAGGCUAAUAUCUAUGAGGAUCAAUAAGAAUUAAACUGUUGAUUAAUAAUUUUGGCAACUGUAAUUUGACAGCAAAAUAAGUGUUUUAAUCCGAUACAUUCUAGAUUAGGAGUAAUUUGAUAGUCUGCAAGGUCAAAUAACUACUAAACUGCACUAAAUAAUGUUUAUUUUCCAUCGACUAACUUGGAAAUAGUGAUCAGCUUGACGUGCACAUUUUGCUUCGCGAAAUCAAAUUGAUGUAAAAUUUGAGCAUGUAUUUACUUUAUAGACAAAUAAAUGAUUAACCCAUUGCAA
Molecule: long non-coding RNA, 2674 nt
Organism: Takifugu rubripes (torafugu)
Lineage: Eukaryota; Metazoa; Chordata; Actinopteri; Tetraodontiformes; Tetraodontidae
Source: Ensembl